This 468-nucleotide ribosomal RNA is filed under the name uncultured bacterium. RNAcentral describes it as "partial 16S ribosomal RNA". It matches the Rfam family "Bacterial small subunit ribosomal RNA", at positions 28 to 507 of the family's 1533-position model. The record is from RNAcentral.
GACGAACGCUGGCGGCGUGCUUAACACAUGCAAGUCGAACGGAAAGGCCCUGCUUUUGUGGGGUGCUCGAGUGGCGAACGGGUGAGUAACACGUGAGUAACCUGCCCUUGACUUUGGGAUAACUUCAGGAAACUGGGGCUAAUACCUGAUAGGAGCUCCUGCUGCAUGGUGGGGGUUGGAAAGUUUCGGCGGUUGGGGAUGGACUCGCGGCUUAUCAGCUUGUUGGUGGGGUAGUGGCUUACCAAGGCUUUGACGGGUAGCCGGCCUGAGAGGGUGACCGGCCACAUUGGGACUGAGAUACGGCCCAGACUCCUACGGGAGGCAGCAGUGGGGAAUAUUGCACAAUGGGCGGAAGCCUGAUGCAGCAACGCCGCGUGCGGGACGACGGCCUUCGGGUUGUAAACCGCUUUCGCCUGUGACGAAGCGUGAGUGACGGUAAUGGGUAAAGAAGCACCGGCUAACUACGUG